This 253-nucleotide ribosomal RNA is filed under the name uncultured bacterium. RNAcentral describes it as "partial 16S ribosomal RNA". It matches the Rfam family "Bacterial small subunit ribosomal RNA", at positions 524 to 776 of the family's 1533-position model. The record is from RNAcentral.
UACGGAGGGUGCAAACGUUGCUCGGAAUCAUUGGGCGUAAAGCGCACGUAGGCGGCCUGUUAAGUCGGAUGUGAAAGCCCAGGGCUCAACCCUGGAAGUGCACUCGAUACUGCGAGGCUAGAGUCCCGGAGAGGAUGGUGGAACUCUCGGUGUAGAGGUGAAAUUCGUAGAUAUCGAGAAGAACACCGGUGGCGAAGGCGGCCAUCUGGACGGUGACUGACGCUGAGACGCGAAAGCGUGGGGAGCAAACAGG